This 495-nucleotide ribosomal RNA is filed under the name uncultured bacterium. Its description in RNAcentral is "partial 16S ribosomal RNA". It matches the Rfam family "Bacterial small subunit ribosomal RNA", at positions 28 to 505 of the family's 1533-position model. The record is from RNAcentral.
GAUGAACGCUGGCAGCGUGCCUAAUACAUGCAAGUCGAGCGAACAGAUAAGGAGCUUGCUCCUUUGACGUUAGCGGCGGACGGGUGAGUAACACGUGGGUAACCUACCUAUAAGACUGGAAUAACUCCGGGAAACCGGGGCUAAUGCCGGAUAACAUUUAGAACCGCAUGGUUCUAAAGUGAAAGAUGGUUUUGCUAUCACUUAUAGAUGGACCCGCGCCGUAUUAGCUAGUUGGUAAGGUAACGGCUUACCAAGGCAACGAUACGUAGCCGACCUGAGAGGGUGAUCGGCCACACUGGAACUGAGACACGGUCCAGACUCCUACGGGAGGCAGCAGUAGGGAAUCUUCCGCAAUGGGCGAAAGCCUGACGGAGCAACGCCGCGUGAGUGAUGAAGGUCUUCGGAUCGUAAAACUCUGUUACUAGGGAAGAACAAAUGUGUAAGUAACUGUGCACGUCUUGACGGUACCUAAUCAGAAGGCCACGGCUAACUACG